GGGCAGCAGGUUUGUAGCAAUACAGAUGCUGGCGACCGGCAAACGGGUGCGUAACACGUACGCAACCUUCCCGUUACUGGGGAAUAGCCCAGGGAAACUUGGAUUAAUACCCCAUAUUAUAUUGAUCAGGCAUCUGGUUAAUAUCAAAGCUUCGGCGGUAACGGAUGGGCGUGCGGCUGAUUAGGUAGUUGGCGGGGUAACGGCCCACCAAGCCUACGAUCAGUAGCUGAUGUGAGAGCAUGAUCAGCCACACGGGCACUGAGACACGGGCCCGACUCCUACGGGAGGCAGCAGUAAGGAAUAUUGGUCAAUGGACGAAAGUCUGAACCAGCCAUGCCGCGUGGAGGAUGAAGGUCCUCUGGAUUGUAAACUUCUUUUCUCUGGGGCGAAAAAAGCCUUUUCUAGGGCACUUGACAGUACCAGAGGAAUAAGCACCGGCUAACUCCGUGCCAGCAGCCGCGGUAAUACGGAGGGUGCAAGCGUUAUCCGGAUUCACUGGGUUUAAAGGGUGCGUAGGCGGGCAGGUAAGUCAGUGGYGAAAUCCCCGGGCUUAACUUGGGAACUGCCGUUGAUACUAUCUGUCUUGAAUAUCGUGGAGGUGAGCGGAAUAUGUCAUGUAGCGGUGAAAUGCUUAGAUAUGACAUAGAACACCCAUUGCGAAGGCAGCUCACUACACGAUAAUUGACGCUGAGGCACGAAAGCGUGGGAGCAAAC
Molecule: ribosomal RNA, 714 nt
Filed under: uncultured bacterium
Lineage: Bacteria
Description: bacterial SSU rRNA
Rfam family: Bacterial small subunit ribosomal RNA
Source: RNAcentral